RNAcentral lists this ribosomal RNA (254 nucleotides) under uncultured bacterium. RNAcentral describes it as "partial 16S ribosomal RNA". It matches the Rfam family "Bacterial small subunit ribosomal RNA", at positions 524 to 776 of the family's 1533-position model. The record is from RNAcentral.
CACGUAGGCACCAAGCGUUGUCCGGAUUUAUUGGGCGUAAAGAGCUCGUAGGCGGUUUAGUAAGUCAGGUGUGAAAUCUUUGGGCUUAACCCAAAGCGUGCACUUGAUACUGCUGUGACUUGAGUUCGGUAGGGGAGUGGGGAAUUCCUAGUGUAGCGGUGAAAUGCGCAGAUAUUCGGAAGAACACCAGUGGCGAAGGCGACUCGCUGGACAAGUAUUGACGCUGAGGUGCGAAAGCGUGGGGAGCAAACAGG